RNAcentral lists this unclassified non-coding RNA (162 nucleotides) under soil metagenome. RNAcentral describes it as "partial internal transcribed spacer 1". The record is from RNAcentral.
CUGAGUUUCACAACUCUCCAACCCUGUGUAAAACUUGAAGUCUGGUUGCUCAGGCAGGCGGUCCCCCGGGGGGGACCGCAGCCUCGACGAGGCGCCUGCCGGAGGAUACCUAAAACUCGUUUUUUAUCAGUGAUAUUCUGAGUAACAAAAACAAAUGAAUCA